UGGGGAAUAUUGGUCAAUGGGCGAAAGCCUGAACCAGCAAUGCCGCGUGAGUGAUGAAGGCCUUCGGGUUGUAAAGCUCUGUCAGUGGGAACGAAUAAGUCGAUUAAUACUCGAUGAUGACGGUACCCACAAAGGAAGCACCGGCUAACUCUGUGCCAGCAGCCGCGGUAAUACAGAGGGUGCAAGCGUUGUUCGGAAUUACUGGGCGUAAAGCGCGUGUAGGCGGUCUCGCAAGUCGGGUGUGAAAGCCCUUGGCUUAACCAAGGAACUGCAUUCGAAACUACGAGACUAGAGUAUCGGAGGGGGUGGCGGAAUUCCCGGUGUAGAGGUGAAAUUCGUAGAUAUCGGGAGGAACACCUGUGGCGAAGGCGGCCACCUGGAAGAUUACUGACGCUGAGACGCGAAAGCGUGGGGAGCAAACAG
Molecule: ribosomal RNA, 423 nt
Filed under: uncultured bacterium
Lineage: Bacteria
Description: bacterial SSU rRNA
Rfam family: Bacterial small subunit ribosomal RNA
Source: RNAcentral